GACGGAAGGUGCAAGCGUUGCUCGGAAUCACUGGGCGUAAAGGGUGCGUAGGCGGCCGUGCAAGUCUGGCGUGAAAGCCCCGGGCUCAGCCCGGGAAGUGCGCUCGAAACUGCGCGGCUCGAGUGCCGGAGGGGAGAGUGGAAUUCCUGGUGUAGCGGUGAAAUGCGUAGAUAUCAGGAGGAAUACCGGUGGCGAAGGCGACUCUUUGGUCUGUAACUGACGCUGAGGCGCGAAAGCGUGGGGAGCAAACAGG
Molecule: ribosomal RNA, 253 nt
Filed under: uncultured bacterium
Lineage: Bacteria
Description: partial 16S ribosomal RNA
Rfam family: Bacterial small subunit ribosomal RNA
Source: RNAcentral